GAUGAAGAACGUAGCGAAAUGCGAUACGUAAUGUGAAUUGCAGAAUUCAGUGAAUCAUCGAGUCUUUGAACGCACAUUGCGCCCUCUGGUAUUCCGGAGGGCAUGCCUGUCCGAGCGUCAUUGCUGCCCUCAAGCACGGCUUGUGUGUUGGGCUCCGUCCCCCGAUCCCGGGGGACGGGCCCGAAAGGCAGCGGCGGCACCGCGUCCGGUCAUCGAGCGUAUGGGGCUUUGUCACCCGCUCUGUAGGCCCGGCCGGCGCUUGCCGAUCAACCAAAUUUUUAUCCAGGUUGACCUCGGAUCAGGUAGGGAUACCCGCUGAACUUAAGCAUAUCAAUAAGCGGAGGA
RNAcentral lists this unclassified non-coding RNA (345 nucleotides) under soil metagenome. RNAcentral describes it as "partial contains 5.8S ribosomal RNA, internal transcribed spacer 2, and large subunit ribosomal RNA". The stretch from base 1 to 120 matches the Rfam family "5.8S ribosomal RNA", at positions 35 to 154 of the family's 154-position model. The record is from RNAcentral.